Clarias gariepinus (North African catfish) is the source of this 69-nucleotide small nucleolar RNA. RefSeq annotates it as small nucleolar RNA SNORD58. The record is from RefSeq and is a predicted model, not a curated record. The transcript has a single exon. NCBI's taxonomy places the organism in Eukaryota, Metazoa, Chordata, Actinopteri, Siluriformes, Clariidae.
UUGCAAUGAUGACCAUCUUAGGACACCUUUGGAAUCCAUAAUGAAAACAACUCUAUUUAUCUGAGCAAC